Molecule: long non-coding RNA, 761 nt
Filed under: Pelobates cultripes (western spadefoot toad)
Lineage: Eukaryota; Metazoa; Chordata; Amphibia; Anura; Pelobatidae
Source: RNAcentral
AAUCUAGCCUAAUAAAAGUUAGUGAGGCAAACAUAGAGUCCGUUUGGGCUACGUUAGAAUUUGGUAAUCACACAGUAACUCAUGUAGGUGUGAUUUAUAGGCCCCCAGGACAAAUUGAAGAGUUAGGUAAUCUACUAGUUGAAGAAAUAGCUAAAAUGACAAUGAAGGGGGAAGUUAUCAUCAUGGGUAACUUUAAUCUUCCUGAUGUAAAUUGGAAAACAAAAUUAGCUACUUGUGCCAGGAGCACACAUAUUCUAAACUCCCUACUGGGAUUGUCUCUAAAACAAGUUGUUGAGGAGCCAACUCGUAAAGAGGCCAUGCUAGAUUUAGUGUUAACAAAUGGAGAUUUGGUAUCAGAUAUUACUGUAGGUGAAAGUUUGGGAUCCAGUGAUCAUCAGUCAGUGUGGUUUAAUAUAAGAACAGUGACUGAGUCACACCACACAAAAACAAAAGUUUUAGACUUUAGAAAAACAGACUUUUCUAAAAUUAGAAAAUGGGUAGAGGAGUCAUUAUCAGACUGGAGCAAUUUAAAUGGAGUCCAAGAGAAAUGGGAUUAUUUAAAAGUUGCACUAUUGAAGGCAACAGAAAAUUGCAUUAGGCUUGUCAGUAAAAGCAAAAAAAUCAAGAAACCACUGUGGUACUCCACAGAUGUGGCCAAAAUAGUUAAAAACAAAAAGUUAGCAUUUAGGAAUUAUAAAAAACCCAGAGUGAGGAAGACAAAAUGAUCUAUAAGAUUAGGCAGAAAAGUUAUAAGAGCUUCC